This 439-nucleotide ribosomal RNA is filed under the name uncultured bacterium. RNAcentral describes it as "partial 16S ribosomal RNA". It matches the Rfam family "Bacterial small subunit ribosomal RNA", at positions 342 to 795 of the family's 1533-position model. The record is from RNAcentral.
CGGGGGGCUCCAGCAGUGAGGAAUAUUGCACAAUGGGGGGAACCCUGAUGCAGCAACGCCGCGUGGAGGAUGACGCAUUUCGGUGUGUAAACUCCUUUUAUAUGUCAAGAAAAUGACGGUAGCAUAUGAAUAAGCACCGGCUAACUCCGUGCCAGCAGCCGCGGUAAUACGGAGGGUGCAAGCGUUACUCGGAAUCACUGGGCGUAAAGGACGCGUAGGCGGGUUGGAAAGUCAGGUGUGAAAUCCUACAGCUUAACUGUAGAACUGCACUUGAAACUUCUAAUCUAGAGUAUGGGAGGGGGAGAUGGAAUUAGUGGUGUAGGGGUAAAAUCCGUAGAUAUCACUAGGAAUACCUAAAGCGAAGGCGAUCUCCUGGAACAUUACUGACGCUAAGGCGUGAAAGCGUGGGGAGCAAACAGGAUUAGAUACCCCCGUAGUC